RNAcentral lists this transfer RNA (62 nucleotides) under Kosemia yezoensis. RNAcentral's name for it is "tRNA-Thr". Lineage: Eukaryota; Metazoa; Arthropoda; Insecta; Hemiptera; Cicadidae. The record is from RNAcentral.
GUUUUAAUAGUUUAAUAAAAAUCUAGAUCUUGUAAAUCUAAGAUAACAUGAGUUUUAAAAAU